Molecule: ribosomal RNA, 253 nt
Filed under: uncultured bacterium
Lineage: Bacteria
Description: partial 16S ribosomal RNA
Rfam family: Bacterial small subunit ribosomal RNA
Source: RNAcentral
UACGUAGGUGGCAAGCGUUGUCCGGAUUUACUGGGCGUAAAGCGCACGUAGGCGGUCCGUUAAGUCGAAUGUGAAAGCUCCCGGCUUAACUGGGAAAUUGCAUCGGAAACUGAUCGGCUGGAAGGUGGGAGAGGGUAGCGGAAUUCCCGGUGUAGUGGUGAAAUGCGUAGAUAUCGGGAGGAACACCAGUGGCGAAAGCGGCUACCUGGCCCAUUCUUGACGCUGAGGCGCGAAAGCUAGGGGAGCAAACGGG